GCUCAGGAUGAACGCUGGCGGUCUGCUUAACACAUGCAAGUCGAACGCAACCUUCGGGUUGAGUGGCGGACGGGUGAGUAACGCGUGAGAAUCUGCCUUGGGGUCGGGGACAACCACUGGAAACGGUGGCUAAUACCGGAUAAGCCUUUGGGUAAAAAAUUUAUUGCCCCAAGAGGAGCUCGCGUCUGAUUAGCUAGUUGGUGAGGUAAAAGCUCACCAAGGCAGCGAUCAGUAGCUGGUCUGAGAGGACGAUCAGCCACACUGGGACUGAGACACGGCCCAGACUCCUACGGGAGGCAGCAGUGGGGAAUUUUCCGCAAUGGGCGAAAGCCUGACGGAGCAAGACCGCGUGAGGGAGGAAGGCUCUUGGGUUGUAAACCUCUUUUCUCGGGGAAGAAGCUCUGACGGUACCUGAGGAAUCAGCCUCGGCUAACUCCGUGCCAGCAGCCGCGGUAAUACGGAGGAGGCAAGCGUUAUCCGGAAUUAUUGGGCGUAAAGCGUCCGCAGGUGGCGAUUCAAGUCUGCUGUCAAAGCACGGGGCUUAACUCCGUUAAGGCAGUGGAAACUGAAUAGCUAGAGUGCCGUAGGGGUAGAGGGAAUUCCCGGUGUAGCGGUGAAAUGCGUAGAGAUCGGGAAGAACAUCGGUGGCGAAAGCGCUCUACUGGACGGCAACUGACACUCAGGGACGAAAGCUACGGGAGCGAAUGGGAUUAGAUACCCCAGUAGUCCUAGCUGUACACGAUGGAUUCUACGUGUAGCUUGUAUCGACCCGAGCUGUGCCGAAGCUAACGCGUUAAGUAUCCCGCCUGGGGAGUGCGCA
Molecule: ribosomal RNA, 820 nt
Filed under: uncultured organism
Description: bacterial SSU rRNA
Rfam family: Bacterial small subunit ribosomal RNA
Source: RNAcentral